Molecule: ribosomal RNA, 94 nt
Filed under: Salmonella enterica
Lineage: Bacteria; Pseudomonadati; Pseudomonadota; Gammaproteobacteria; Enterobacterales; Enterobacteriaceae
Description: partial 16S ribosomal RNA
Rfam family: Bacterial small subunit ribosomal RNA
Source: RNAcentral
AAAUUGAAGAGUUUGAUCAUGGCUCAGAUUGAACGCUGGCGGCAGGCCUAACACAUGCAAGUCGAACGGUAACAGGAAGCAGCUUGCUGAUUUG